UUUUUUUAAACAGUUUUGAAAAAUAGAAUGGACUCGAUUUUAGCAUGGGCUAAUAAAAAUUUAGGAAAGUAGCCCAAAUCUAAAAAUAAUUUCAGCAGCCCAGGAAAAAAUACUGCAAAUGGAAGGCCCAAUUAAAUCAAUCACCAACCCGAGAGCCCAAUUACUCACAAAUCACAGUCCAAUUAAAAACUCACUAAGCUUCAACCACAGAAGCCCUACAGCAACCGUCCGC
This 232-nucleotide long non-coding RNA is filed under the name Olea europaea (common olive). RNAcentral's name for it is "long non-coding RNA (OEUR_LNC000310)". Lineage: Eukaryota; Viridiplantae; Streptophyta; Magnoliopsida; Lamiales; Oleaceae. The record is from RNAcentral.